UACAGGGGGGGCAAGCGUUGUUCGGAAUUACUGGGCGUAAAGGGCUCGUAGGUGGCCAACUAAGUCAGACGUGAAAUCCCUCAGCUUAACUGGGGAACUGCGUCUGAUACUGGAUGGCUUGAGUUUGGGAGAGGGAUGCGGAAUUCCAGGUGUAGCGGUGAAAUGCGUAGAUAUCUGGAGGAACACCGGUGGCGAAGGCGGCAUCCUGGACCAACACUGACACUGAGGAGCGGAAGCCAGGGGAGCAAACGGG
Molecule: ribosomal RNA, 253 nt
Filed under: uncultured bacterium
Lineage: Bacteria
Description: partial 16S ribosomal RNA
Rfam family: Bacterial small subunit ribosomal RNA
Source: RNAcentral